AUGUUUUGCUUGAUUUUCACUUCUAGUGCUUCAUUUUGAGGAUAAACUGUACUUAUUUGUAUUUAUUUUUGUUUGUUUUACUGAUGUUCAGUGACUGACAACUUUGAAACAGUCUGAGGUGUCUCUUCAAGUCUUGUGGAAAGGAAACAGUCUGAGGUGUCUCUUCAAGUCUUGUGGAAAGGAAACAGUCUGAGGUGUCUCUUCAAGUCUUGUGGAAAGGAAACAGUCUGAGGUGUCUCUUCAAGUCUUGUGGAAAGGAAACAGUCUGAGGUGUCUCUUCAAGUCUUGUGGAAAGGAAACAGUCUGAGGUGUCUCUUCAAGUCUUGUGGAAAGGAAACAGUCUGAGGUGUCUCUUCAAGUCUUGUGGAAAGGAAACAGUCUGAGGUGUCUCUUCAAGUCUUGUGGAAAGGAAACAGUCUGAGGUGUCUCUUCAAGUCUUGUGGAAAGGAAACAGUCUGAGGUGUCUCUUCAGGUCUUGUGGAAAGGAAACAGUCUGAGGUGUCUCUUCAAGUCUUGUGAAAGGCCCAGUGGAAAGGAAACAGUCUGAGGUGUCUCUUCAAGUCUUGUGAAAGGCCCAGUGGAAAGGAGGAGAGAUCAAUCAGACCAAGCUGAGCUCUCUGGGAUGACCCUCACCUGGUUCACCAGAGGUCAUGAGUUCAUUGCUUUCGCAACAUGUCUCUUGUUCAAGAGGCAGUGCUGGGGAGAGGAGAUAAGAUAGUGUUCACAUGGCUUCAUUUUAAGCAGUAGGUAUCGUGUCGGCCUGGGUGAUAUUUCUGCCACAGUGAUCUGUGGCUGGGCCUUUGUUUCUGCUUCAACAUCGCCCCCAUGUGGACGGGAUGUGCAAGUGCCUGCUGCGCCA
Oncorhynchus keta (chum salmon) is the source of this 859-nucleotide long non-coding RNA. RefSeq lists it as uncharacterized. The transcript is spliced from 3 exons. NCBI's taxonomy places the organism in Eukaryota, Metazoa, Chordata, Actinopteri, Salmoniformes, Salmonidae. The record is from RefSeq and is a predicted model, not a curated record.